RNAcentral lists this ribosomal RNA (253 nucleotides) under uncultured bacterium. Its description in RNAcentral is "partial 16S ribosomal RNA". It matches the Rfam family "Bacterial small subunit ribosomal RNA", at positions 524 to 776 of the family's 1533-position model. The record is from RNAcentral.
GACAGAGGGUGCGAACGUUGUUCGGAAUUACUGGGCGUAAAGCGUGUGUAGGCGGCAAUGCAAGUCGGGCGUGAAAUCCCACGGCUCAACCGUGGAAGUGCACUCGAAACUGCAUAGCUAGAGUCCUGGAGAGGAAGGUGGAAUGCUUGGUGUAGAGGUGAAAUUCGUAGAUAUUGGGAAGAACACCGGUGGCGAAGGCGGCGACCUGGUCCUUGACUGACGCUGAGGCGCGAAAGCGUGGGGAGCAAACAGG